This 393-nucleotide small RNA is filed under the name uncultured Glomus. RNAcentral's name for it is "SSU rRNA". It matches the Rfam family "Eukaryotic small subunit ribosomal RNA", at positions 569 to 967 of the family's 1831-position model. Lineage: Eukaryota; Fungi; Glomeromycota; Glomeromycetes; Glomerales; Glomeraceae. The record is from RNAcentral.
AGCAGCCGCGGUAAUUCCAGCUCCAAUAGCGUAUAUUAAAGUUGUUGCAGUUAAAAAGCUCGUAGUUGAAUUUCGGGGUCAGUAGAUUGGUCGUGCCACUGGUACGUACUGGUCUACUGGCUCCUCCUUCCUGAUGAACCGUAAUGCCAUUAAUUUGGUGUCGCGGGGAAACUGGACUGUUACUUUGAAAAAUUAGAGUGUUUAAAGCAGGCUAACGCUUGAAUACAUUAGCAUGGAAUAAUGAAAUAGGACGUUCGAUCUUAUUUUGUUGGUUUCUAGGAUUGACGUAAUGAUUAAUAGGGAUAGUUGGGGGCAUUAGUAUUCAAUUGUCAGAGGUGAAAUUCUUGGAUUUUAUUGAAGACUAACUACUGCGAAAGCAUUUGCCAAGGAUGU